Molecule: transfer RNA, 85 nt
Filed under: Eutrema salsugineum
Lineage: Eukaryota; Viridiplantae; Streptophyta; Magnoliopsida; Brassicales; Brassicaceae
Rfam family: tRNA
About the family: Transfer RNA (tRNA) molecules are approximately 80 nucleotides in length. Their secondary structure includes four short double-helical elements and three loops (D, anti-codon, and T loops).
Source: Rfam by way of RNAcentral
CGGACCUUAGCUCAGUUGGUAGAGCGGAGGACUGUAGUUGAAGCCGAGAAUCCUUAGGUCACUGGUUCAAAUCCGAUAGGUCGGA